Molecule: unclassified non-coding RNA, 336 nt
Filed under: soil metagenome
Description: partial contains 5.8S ribosomal RNA, internal transcribed spacer 2, and large subunit ribosomal RNA
Rfam family: 5.8S ribosomal RNA (bases 1-120)
Source: RNAcentral
GAUGAAGAACGUAGCGAAAUGCGAUAAGUAGUGUGAAUUGCAGAAUUCAGUGAAUCAUCGAAUCUUUGAACGCACAUUGCGCCCCUUGGUAUUCCAUGGGGCAUGCCUGUUCGAGCGGCAUUUGUACCUUCAAGCUUUGCUUGGUGUUGGGUGUUUGUCUCGCCUUUGCGUGUAGACUCGCCUUAAAAUAAUUGGCAGCCGGCGUAUUGAUUUCGGAGCGCAGUACAUCUCGCGCUUUGCACUCAUAACGACAGCGUCCAAAAGUACAUUUUACACUCUUGACCUCGGAUCAGGUAGGGAUACCCGCUGAACUUAAGCAUAUCAAUAAGCGGAGGA